UACGUAGGUGGCAAGCGUUGUCCGGAAUUAUUGGGCGUAAAGCGCGCGCAGGCGGUCUCUUAAGUCUGAUGUGAAAUCCCGUGGCUUAACCACGGGCGGUCAUUGGAAACUGGGGGACUUGAGUGCAGAAGAGAAGAGCGGAAUUCCACGUGUAGCGGUGAAAUGCGUAGAGAUGUGGAGGAACACCAGUGGCGAAGGCGGCUCUUUGGUCUGUAACUGACGCUGAGGCGCGAAAGCGUGGGGAGCGAACAGG
RNAcentral lists this ribosomal RNA (253 nucleotides) under uncultured bacterium. RNAcentral describes it as "partial 16S ribosomal RNA". It matches the Rfam family "Bacterial small subunit ribosomal RNA", at positions 524 to 776 of the family's 1533-position model. The record is from RNAcentral. RNAcentral also lists the same sequence under 1 other name.